This 689-nucleotide ribosomal RNA is filed under the name Typhlatya iliffei. RNAcentral's name for it is "12S ribosomal RNA". It matches the Rfam family "Microsporidia small subunit ribosomal RNA", at positions 332 to 1311 of the family's 1311-position model. The record is from RNAcentral. Lineage: Eukaryota; Metazoa; Arthropoda; Malacostraca; Decapoda; Atyidae.
AGAGGUUUGGGCAAAAAUUAAUAUUUAACCCAGCUUUACUACAAAGCCGAGGCCAAAUUUGUGCCAGCAGCCGCGGUUAUACUGGUACGGCUAGUGAGAGGUGUUAGGUCAGUAGUUAAGUAGAUGGCAGUCUUUAGGCGAGAUUAUAUAGUAAAGGGUGAAAUCUAGUUAAAAAAAUCUUGCUUUUGUUUUUCCUGAGCUGAAACUAAAAAGAUUUAAGUUUAAAAUAGGAUUAGAUACCCUAGUAUAUUUAAUUGAAAUUGAGAGGCCUGAUUAGUAUUAGUUAUGUUCUUGAAAUUUAAAGAAUUUGGCGGCACUUUAGCCCGGUUAGAGGAACCUGUCUUUUAAACGAUAAACCACGAAGUAUCUUACUUUCUUUUGUUUCUCAGUAUGUAUACCGUCAUUAAUAUAAACAAUUUAAAUAGGAAUUAGUUGGAAGGAGCUUCUGAGUUCUUUAGAUUAGAUCAAGGUGCAGCUAAUAAGAAAGUAAAGGUGGGUUACAAUAAUUUUAAUUUAAACGGAUCAAUAUAAAAAGUUUUUGUUGUGAAGGAGGAUUUAACAGUAGGUAAAUUUUAAUAAGUUUUACUGAUGAUGGUUCUGAAGUGUGCACACAUCGCCCGUCGCUCUCAUAACAAACAUGAGAUAAGUCGUAACAGAGUAGAUGUACUGGAAAGUGCAUCUAAGAUUAA